GAUGAAGAACGCAGCGAAAUGCGAUAAGUAGUGUGAAUUGCAGAAUUCAGUGAAUCAUCGAAUCUUUGAACGCACAUUGCGCCCCUUGGUAUCCCGAGGGGCAUGCCUGUUCGAGCGUCAUUUCACCACUCAAGCCUGGCUUGGUGUUGGGCGACGUCCCCUUUAGGGACGCGCCUUAAAACGCUCGGCGGCGUGGCACCGGCUUUAAGCGUAGCAGAAUCUUUCGCUUUGGAAGUCGGGGCCCCGCCUGCCGGAAUACCUACUCGUAAGGUUGACCUCGGAUCAGGCAGGGAUACCCGCUGAACUUAAGCAUAUCAAUAAGCGGAGGA
RNAcentral lists this unclassified non-coding RNA (329 nucleotides) under soil metagenome. RNAcentral describes it as "partial contains 5.8S ribosomal RNA, internal transcribed spacer 2, and large subunit ribosomal RNA". The stretch from base 1 to 120 matches the Rfam family "5.8S ribosomal RNA", at positions 35 to 154 of the family's 154-position model. The record is from RNAcentral.